RNAcentral lists this ribosomal RNA (718 nucleotides) under Raoultella sp. RNAcentral describes it as "bacterial SSU rRNA". It matches the Rfam family "Bacterial small subunit ribosomal RNA", at positions 49 to 751 of the family's 1533-position model. The record is from RNAcentral. Lineage: Bacteria; Pseudomonadati; Pseudomonadota; Gammaproteobacteria; Enterobacterales; Enterobacteriaceae.
CUACACAUGCAAGUCGAGCGGUAGCACAGGAAGAGCUUGCUCUUUGGGUGACGAGCGGCGGACGGGUGAGUAAUGUCUGGGAAACUGCCUGAUGGAGGGGGAUAACUACUGGAAACGGUAGCUAAUACCGCAUAACGUCGCAAGACCAAAGUGGGGGACCUUCGGGCCUCAUGCCAUCAGAUGUGCCCAGAUGGGAUUAGCUAGUAGGUGAGGUAAUGGCUCACCUAGGCGACGAUCCCUAGCUGGUCUGAGAGGAUGACCAGCCACACUGGAACUGAGACACGGUCCAGACUCCUACGGGAGGCAGCAGUGGGGAAUAUUGCACAAUGGGCGCAAGCCUGAUGCAGCCAUGCCGCGUGUAUGAAGAAGGCCUUCGGGUUGUAAAGUACUUUCAGCGAGGAGGAAGGCGUAUAAGGUUAAUAACCUUAGGCGAUUGACGUUACUCGCAGAAGAAGCACCGGCUAACUCCGUGCCAGCAGCCGCGGUAAUACGGAGGGUGCAAGCGUUAAUCGGAAUUACUGGGCGUAAAGCGCACGCAGGCGGUCUGUCAAGUCGGAUGUGAAAUCCCCGGGCUCAACCUGGGAACUGCAUCCGAAACUGGCAGGCUAGAGUCUUGUAGAGGGGGGUAGAAUUCCAGGUGUAGCGGUGAAAUGCGUAGAGAUCUGGAGGAAUACCGGUGGCGAAAGGCGGCCCCCUGGACAAAGACUGGACGCCUCAG